UUAAAUUGAAGAGUUUGAUCAUGGCUCAGAUUGAACGCUGGCGGCAGGCCUAACACAUGCAAGUCGAACGGUAAC
Molecule: ribosomal RNA, 75 nt
Filed under: Klebsiella aerogenes
Lineage: Bacteria; Pseudomonadati; Pseudomonadota; Gammaproteobacteria; Enterobacterales; Enterobacteriaceae
Also listed under: 35 other names
Description: partial 16S ribosomal RNA
Rfam family: Bacterial small subunit ribosomal RNA
Source: RNAcentral